CGCGUCGCGGUGGUUCGGUCCUGGCCGAUGGCGAGUGGGCGGCGCAUGGAUCGGUUCCGGCUAUGGUGUCCCAUGCUUCCCGCUGCCGUCUUCUCUCUCUCUGUCUCCUCGUUGCCACCUCCCCUCCCCUUCUUCCUCCCCGCUUGCCUCCAUCGCCCCUCUUCGCCGCCGCUGCGCACCGAGGUCGUCCUCGUCGAAGAAGGCGCUCACGGCUGGCAUCAGUAGGUCACCUCCGCUGCAACUCCUUAGGCUCCGUCUACUGUUCUCGCAGGUGUUGAUCGAUCAGUGCCAUGUGCAAGAACACAGGUGAGUGAUUUCCCCCGGUCUCCACCUCUAAGUUAAUUUGGUAGACAUUGGAUGCAAAUCUUGUGAGAUUUAUUGGUGCUUUGCCGUGGGUGCUUGAUUGAAGACGUGAUUUUGCAGAUAGCAAGUGAUUUCCCCUAAAUUCCCAGCCCGCAAUCACACCACAAGUGCUUCCUCAUGAGUCGUAAUCCACAUCCCCUUUCUCUCCAUUAUUAUUUUGCCGCGAGAUCUGCUCAUAUCACUUUUUAUCCAAAAUGUGCAUUGUUGGCCUGGAUCCGUGCACUGCUCCAUUCCUCAUCCCUGAAUUUGUUGUUUUGCUGCUAUAGUAACGAGAAAUAAUCCCCUUAAUCUCCUUACUCUGAUCCAUAUAUGGAGGUGUAUGGCAUAUGGAGGUAUGUAAUUGCAGAACUUAACUUUUGCAAUUGCAGAACUAACUGUUUCUUUCCCAGUUCACACAGUGUAUGACGUAUGGAGGUCAAAAUUUCUUUUGAGAGUGAAUUGAAGUUAUAGCAGAUCACACGUACACCGAUUAUCCACAUAAAUGAGAAGUGAAGCACGAGCAUUAAGAAUAUCUGGUAGUCAUGCGUACUCGUGAUAGUAUGAUGAAUGGAUGUUCAACCGUCUUUUUCUAUUUCUGAAAUCAUUUACAGUUUUGGAAGGGAGUUGUAUAUUCUAAGAAUAUAUUAUGUUGCAGACUGGAUAGAUGGAGCAUAGGAAAGGAGGUGAUAUCUUUAUUGAAUCCGCAAUGCCAUUUGUGAAACUCUAUUUUAAAAUGAUUCAUAUAAGCUUGUGAAACU
Long non-coding RNA from Panicum virgatum (switchgrass), 1100 nucleotides. RefSeq lists it as uncharacterized. NCBI's taxonomy places the organism in Eukaryota, Viridiplantae, Streptophyta, Magnoliopsida, Poales, Poaceae. The record is from RefSeq and is a predicted model, not a curated record. The transcript has 2 exons.